RNAcentral lists this ribosomal RNA (423 nucleotides) under uncultured euryarchaeote. RNAcentral describes it as "bacterial SSU rRNA". It matches the Rfam family "Archaeal small subunit ribosomal RNA", at positions 322 to 747 of the family's 1478-position model. The record is from RNAcentral. Lineage: Archaea; Methanobacteriati; Methanobacteriota.
CCUACGGGGUGCAGCAGGCGCGAAACCUCUGCAAUGCGGGAAACCGUGACAGGGGGAUCCCAAGUGCUCAUGCAUUGCAUGGGCUGUUCUUUGGUCUAAGUAACCAGAGGAGUAAGGGCUGGGCAAGACCGGUGCCAGCCGCCGCGGUAAUACCGGCAGCUCAAGUGGUAGCCGCGAUUAUUGGGCCUAAAACGUUCGUAGCCGGAUAAGUAAGUCUUUGGUUAAAUCCUGCGACUCAACCGUGGGAAUUCUAGAGAUACUGCUCGUCUUGAGACCGGGAGAGGUUGGAGGUACUCCUAGGGUAGGGGUGAAAUCCUGUAAUCCUAGGGGGACCACCUGUGGCGAAGGCGUCCAACUGGAACGGGUCUGACGGUGAGGGACGAAACCUAGGGGAGCGAGCCGGAUUAGAUACCCCCGUAGUCC